This 73-nucleotide transfer RNA is filed under the name Stegodyphus mimosarum. It matches the Rfam family "tRNA". From Rfam's summary of the family: Transfer RNA (tRNA) molecules are approximately 80 nucleotides in length. Their secondary structure includes four short double-helical elements and three loops (D, anti-codon, and T loops). Further hydrogen bonds mediate the characteristic L-shaped molecular structure. tRNAs have two regions of fundamental functional importance: the anti-codon, which is responsible for specific mRNA codon recognition, and the 3' end, to which the tRNAs corresponding amino acid is attached (by aminoacyl-tRNA synthetases). tRNAs cope with the degeneracy of the genetic code in two manners: having more than one tRNA (with a specific anti-codon) for a particular amino acid; and 'wobble' base-pairing, i.e. permitting non-standard base-pairing at the 3rd anti-codon position. The record is from Rfam by way of RNAcentral. Lineage: Eukaryota; Metazoa; Arthropoda; Arachnida; Araneae; Eresidae.
GCCUCCGUGGUGUAACGGUUAGCACACUCGGCGCGUAUUCGAGAGGUCCGUGGUUCGAGUCCCGGCUAGGGCA